This 30-nucleotide non-coding RNA is filed under the name Mus musculus (house mouse). The record is from RNAcentral. Lineage: Eukaryota; Metazoa; Chordata; Mammalia; Rodentia; Muridae.
UGCCAGUUCUUGAUACAAUGUUUAUAAGGA